AUGCACCCCACUUGACUAUGCAGGUAUACUUUCUAGGGCUUGUUAUAUCUGAAUGCAUUGACAUUAUACAAUUUCUAUUUUUAUGUUUUUCUUUACUUAGGGAAAAAUGAAUUUGAAAGUGUAUAGUUUUGUGUGUUUGUGUUUUUAUAUGCAUGCAUGUGCACAAGAGUAUGGCAGACAAUAUUAUUAACAUCUUGGAGCAAUCUGAUGCUGAUGUAUAUUUCUUAAGUCUUAAACUCUAUCAACCUCUAAUUUCACUGCUAGUAUCUUUAAUUUGUACUUUCUAUAGAAAAAGGUAAAAUAAAACUUCAAGUUCAUCCCUUUACAUAGACCUGGCCACCGGUCUGGUAUGGGUCAGAACCAGCGGUUCAAGGUUGGGGAGGGGAAUGAAUCAGAACUGGACCAAGUGAAGGCAAUUACAGUUCAAGGUGAUUUGGCUCUGCGCCUGGUCCAGUUCUUGAAUGCUUCCAGUUCCAGUUUAAAACAGUUGUCGUUUCAAGUUGUAGGCGGCUCGGUCUGGUUUUG
RNAcentral lists this unclassified non-coding RNA (525 nucleotides) under Hevea brasiliensis (rubber tree). Lineage: Eukaryota; Viridiplantae; Streptophyta; Magnoliopsida; Malpighiales; Euphorbiaceae. The record is from RNAcentral.